UGUAGUGGUGAAGCCGUGACCCACAACAGUGUCCACAUAACCCGUGGCCAUGGCUGCAGCAGCACGGCGUGUAAUCUGGAUGGACAUGUCAGGGUACAUGUGCACUCACUUCAAGAUGACGACACUCCACCUCAAGAACAGCCUCUCCUCAAUGAUAAGUAGCGAGAUUAAAUGAAAGGAAAAUAUCACAUCCGUAACCAGACUGAUACUGUGUUUUCCUUUCAUUUAACCUCCUUCUGCAUUUAAGGAAGCAUUGAUAUGCCCAAUAAAUGUUUUUGUUAAAUUUA
This 287-nucleotide long non-coding RNA is filed under the name Dermacentor andersoni. Its description in RNAcentral is "uncharacterized LOC126532411". The record is from RNAcentral. Lineage: Eukaryota; Metazoa; Arthropoda; Arachnida; Ixodida; Ixodidae.